GAGACGGAGUUUCACUCGUACUGCUGCCCAGGCUAUAUAGUGCAAUGGCACCAUCUUGGCUCACCACAACCUCCGCCUCCCAGGUUCAAGCGAUUCUCCUGCCUCAGCCUCCCGAGUAGCUUGGAUUACAGGCAUGCACCGCCACGCCCAGCUAAUUUUGUAUUUUUAGUAAAGAUGGAGUUUCUCCAUGUUGGUCGGGCUGGUCUCAAACUCCCGACCUCAGGUGAUCCUCCCGCCUCGGCCUCCCAAAGUGCUGGGAUUACAGGCAUGAGCCAUGGCACCCGGCCAGGCUGAGAAUUCUUAAGACAGGAUUUUUUAAGGAUAGUUUGGUAAGCAUGGGGCUAGGGGAUGGGUUGAUGUGUUGGGUACUAUGGGGAACGUGGAAGUGGAGAAUAGUGUGGACUUUUGAAAGGAUGUCUGCCUAGGAGUGGAGUUGGGCAUGAGGGCAGGACUAAAAAAGAGUGAGUGAAGGAAAAGGUAUGCAGGGAGCAGAAGAGUGGAGGGGUGGCUCGGGGUUUGGAGACUUGCCCGUCAAUUCCCACAACAGAGACUUGGGAGGACUGGGUGGGUCCUGAAAAAUUAGGUAAAGCAGAGUAGGUUGCCCGGUAUUAAAUAAGAAAAAAUACUGGCCUACCUGCCACCAUCAGGGUUACCCUUGUCUUAGAUGAAGCAAUGGUAGUUGCCGGGGCGUCCAUUCCAGGGCCCCAUCAGUCUUCAGUGGCAAGGCCAGUGAGAUCCGAGUAGGAGGUUUUGGCCAGCUCAGGAAGGGAUGGGAGUGGUCCUUGUGGGGGCCGCUCACAGUCCAACUUCCAGUGGGGUCCUCUGCAGAGGGGGCAUGGCCUGAUGGGCUUACCUGGGUUUGGGCAUUGUCUAGACCAGUGGCCUUCAUUGCCAUACUUGAAACAUGCGCCAGGUGGAGGUGGAUUGCUAGGAGGCUUCUGUGUGGAGCUGCGGCCCUGUGGGCCUGCAGGGCCCCGGAUGGCGGAGUCAAGCAUUUGAAACUCUGCAUGUUUUUGCCUUUUAUUUUCCUCAUCACGAUUGUUAAAGACUUUGAAGGCUAAAUUAAGAAGGUCUCGUUGUGGGUUUUGAGAGCCAUCAUCAAGCUUCUGUAGCUUACGCCGAAUAUCGGGGUGGAUUGGGACAUGAACUAAAGGUUUAAAAUAGUGGUUCCUUCUGGGCUGGUUGGGUCUAGGUUGGUAUAUUUUCUCAUGACUUCAGUUAAACAAGAGAGAAAAAGGGCUGUUUUUUCGUCAGGAUCUUGGGGGAUUUCUGAAAGUUUUUCAUAGUUUAUCGCUUUAUGGGCACCCUUUUUGAGUCCUGCAAGGAGACACAAUUGUGGUCUCAAUGGUAGCGUCCAGAGGCCCUGUCUUGAUAAUCCCAGUGGGGGUCCUGGUUGGGGACUGCCUGUGCGCCAGUAGGCUGGGCAGGAGCUUGGUGAUAAAUUGAUCAGCAUGCCCCUGAGCUAGGGUCCAGAUAUGGUCCCGGUCUUCUGGGGUGAGGGUGGAAGAGAGGAUAACGUAGAGGAUAUGCCAGAUUAGUUCAUAAGACUGGGUAAGGUACUGAAACUCCCUAAUAUAAGAGGUCAGGUCUUCUGGAAAUGAACCCAGUCUUUUGUUAAUUUGAGAGAAAUCAGUGAGGGAGAAGGGAACAUGAACUCUAACAAUACCUUCAGUUCCUGCUACUUCCUGAAGAGGGCACUCUAGCACAGGCACUAAAGUAAGGGUGGGGCAUGGCCAAACAUGGCACCUGAACAAGUGUGGAUGGGAGAGAAGGAAGAACCUGGAAGUGGUUCCUGCUGAGUGUUUGAAGGGGAAAGGGGGAUUGAGUUAACAGGUAGUGGAGGAUAGAUAGGGGCGUAAGGUGGUGGGAUGGGUUUACAAGCCUCAGGAGAAGGCAGUAGGGGAGGAGAAUGGGUACAGGCAAUACUAGAAUUGUCCUGAGGAGGGGGCGGUGUAGGAAAAGAAGCAGAUACUGCUGACUGGGAAGAUGGUGGCUGGGAAGAUGGCGGUUGAGAAGACAACGAGGAGGCUUGGGCUAAAGAAGACGAUUGAGAGGAAGAGGUAGGGGUUGGGAGGGGUGGACAGCAGUCUGCUGGAUCUAACGAGGAAAAAGAGGUAGGGUUGGGAGGAGAAAGACAAUCAGGGUGGCAAGAAUGGAGGAGAAGGAUUUGAACAGGUGAGCAAGAAUUGCAGAGGUCGGGUUGUGAUCUGAGUGCAAAAAGGCCUGGACAUAAGGAAUUUCUCCCCAUUUCUCUAGUCGUUGUCAAUAAUUGCUUAACUCAGUUAAAACUGUAAAGUCGAAUGUUCCAUUUGCGGGCCAUUUGGACCCAUUAUCCAAUUCGUAUUGUGGCCAGACUGAAUUGCAAAAAAAGACAAGGCGCUUAGGGUGGAUAUUUUGCCUGAGGCCUAAGGUUUGCAGGUUUUUUAUGGGGCAGCCUAGAGGGCUGUUUUUUGGAAGGGAGGACCGGGAGUUUCCCAUAACAGAGGGUAGGCUCAGGAGAACAGGGAAAAAGGAGACCGUCCUGGACGGCCAGAGGGAGACAAAAGGAGCAAUCAUCAUCACCGCUGCCUUUUUCAUUCCUGGAACGGGAUCAAAUGGAUUAGAGGCGUCUCCCUAAGACCAGGUGAUGGGAUGAUCAGCGAGUACCUGGCACACGCCGGAGCCUUGCUGGACCGACAUUGGAUUUUUGGACCGUAGACACCAAGAGAGGCCAUGUGGCUUUUCCCUUGUUAACUGGGCUCCUAGGGAAACUUACCAAUAGGCAAGGCCAGUGACCAAUGUGCAUGCACAGAGAGGCAACUGGAGGCUGAGGAGCUUCCUUUGUCCUGCUGCUGUGGCCUGUUCUCCAGGGUGGAGGGGUAGGUCCAUGGGGGAUGUGGACCAGAGCCCCUCCCCGGUUUCGGCACUAGAUGUAAGGUUCUUGUGUUGGUUCAAACCCUGAGAGCACGCCAAAAGACAACACGAAGUGGUGUGGAGCAGCAACAUGCUGUUUUAAUGAGCACAGUGUUUUUCUAGAUAUUGUUAACCAAGAUAAGGAAUCCCUAAAGAGAGGCAGGCUUGAUUUAGAGCUGUCUGAGGGCUUCCAAAAGAGCUGUUCAGUGAAUAAGAAGGAAUCCAACCAUGGAGCAUCAGAGUCUAAGUUGGAUGUAUAGGUUUGUGUGUCUUCAGUAUUGUCUUGUAUUUUAAGACAGAAUUAGAUGUGCCCAUCAGAAAUGAGUGUAUGGCAUGAAAAAGUUGCAGAUGACACAGUAACAGUCUGAUCUCUCUUUCUUUCCCCCACAAUGCUUGUUUGAGGACAUGUAUUAUCACCAGAGAGGACUUGAAACUGCAUAACAAACCGUACUUGCCAGACAUUUCCUAAUCACCUUCUCACUGUUUACUCCCUCCCCCUAUAAUCGAUAAUCGCAAAGCUUCCUUUCCCUUUGACUAUUCUAUUCUCUUCACAAUUUAUCACCCCUUGUUAAAUGGUAUAUAAGCCCCCAGCCCUAAACUCCUACUUGGGUUUUCACUUCUCUUUUGUGAAGCCUCAUUAUGUAUGCAAAAUAAAAUUUUUCUACUGU
RNAcentral lists this long non-coding RNA (3560 nucleotides) under Homo sapiens (human). RNAcentral's name for it is "HSALNT0326348". Lineage: Eukaryota; Metazoa; Chordata; Mammalia; Primates; Hominidae. The record is from RNAcentral.